Molecule: ribosomal RNA, 300 nt
Filed under: uncultured Glaciecola sp.
Lineage: Bacteria; Pseudomonadati; Pseudomonadota; Gammaproteobacteria; Alteromonadales; Alteromonadaceae
Description: bacterial SSU rRNA
Rfam family: Bacterial small subunit ribosomal RNA
Source: RNAcentral
AUUGAACGCUGGCGGCAGGCCUAACACAUGCAAGUCGAACGGUAACAGGAUAGCUUGCUAUCGCUGACGAGUGGCGGACGGGUGAGUAAUACUUAGGGAUCUGCCUCUGUGUGGGGGAUAACUAUUGGAAACGAUAGCUAAUACCGCAUAAUGUCUACGGACCAAAGCGGGCUUCGGCUCGUGCGCAGAGAGGAACCUAAGCGAGAUUAGCUAGUUGGUGAGGUAAAGGCUCACCAAGGCGACGAUCUCUAGCUGUUCUGAGAGGAUGAUCAGCCACACUGGGACUGAGACACGGCCCAG